UAUAAAAUUAAUUCUUUACAAUAUAUUUCCAAAUAAUUUUGAGUGCUUUAGAUUCGCAGUCAUUUACGCAAGAGCUUUUAAGUUCAUCGAUCAUUGACGAAACCAUCCUUUGGGUAUUUGAAUCUAAUUGAAAAAAAUGCAUGCAGCGAGGACUUUUGACACUGAAAUGGCUUUUUUGCCUUCCACGCUUCAAUACACCGCUUCAGUCGGCCAUUUAGAUUUUUUCUGUAAAACGGUCACUCACACUUCGGCUUUAUAUAGGUCAUAAUGGCCUUUUGGUCGCCGUUAAAGUCAUAUCAAAAACUAAAUUUAACAUUUAAUUUUAAUGGCAUUUUGAAUAGGUAUACAGUAUAUUACUUGUGUAUAAAAAUUACGAUAAGUGUAAUUAAAAAGGUACAAUAAACAGUAAUGACUCGCCUGCAAAUCUAGGAGAACAGAAUCCAGACCGUUUGGCCUUUCGACCGUUCUAAGGUGUGGCUCUUCCUCACAACAAACGCUUGAGUGACGUUGAUUUACAGUUGUAGUUUUAAUUGAGCGCAUAGACGAGCCAGAACCGGGAUGAAAUGUUUACCAUACAUAAUUUGCUACUGGAAGUUUUACGCACGUUCGAAAAUUUCGAUUUCGUGUUUUAUUUUUUCAAUGCGUAACUUUACGCAAAGAUUUGAAAUCUAAAUCGUUAUUUAAGAAAUUUAAUUCGUUUUUACGCCUUUACGCAUGUUAUCUGGAGCACUGAAGGUUGGAGACUACAUGAGAUUUUGACAGAUGGCGGGAAACCCUCAUCAACUGGAGAUCAGCCGGUAAAAAGGUGGCCUUAAAACAGUGACCGUUGAUUCGCGUCGAGUUCUUUCUUACAUACUGCAUGACCUAUCUUUUUUAUUGUUUAAAUCCAUUCGGCUUGGCAUGCUCUUUAAGAAAAGGUAUGGGUAUGGGGGUGUCUACGCGCAAAAGUUUGACUUUAUUUUUCGUUGAAGUUGUUGAUUUUACAUUGAAUUUGUUAAGGAAAUCUUUUGGUAUAUUGUAACCUAAACUAACUUUAGGUAAAAAUGAAAUAUCAUCUGCAAGUGCAAAAUAUGACUGGUAAAGCUGAUUUUUGGUCAUUUCUUAGCAAAAGAGAAGAUUAUAAGUGCAUUAAAUGCAUGAAUUCAGAUGAUUUGACCCCAAAAAGUUGUUUUUCAAGUUGACCCUCCACCCUUAUAUAGCCGAAUAAGGGCUAAAUUGCUUUCCAACUUAAGUUCAAAGGCAUAUUGGUUGACCGUGUAGCAUUAAUGUACUACAUGAUGUCAGAAUUCAACGCCUGGGUCUCCGUGAUCCAGUAACGCAACAAUAGCUUGUGCGUAAAGCAUUAACAUUCAAACAGAGCCCCAUUUCACCGAUAUGGAAUGGCGGACAUUUUUACAGAUUGGACAGUGCAGCAGAUGCUUAGCUGAGCCAGCCUUCAUAUUUAGUACAAUCAUGAAUAUAACAAGCUUUAUCACUACAUAUUAUUCUUAUAAAUACACUUAAAAUACAUAAAUGCAUGUGUUUUUUUCAUUUUAUAUCUAUUUCAAUUGGGUAUUUUGACUUUUUCAGGUAGAGGAAUGUCUGCGACUAAGCCGAGGGCCACUGCAUAAGGGUUAUUGAUGGCAAAACAGGUAGAGGAAUGUCUGCGACUAAGCCGAGGGCCACUGCAUAAGGGUUAUUGAUGGCAAAACAGGUAGAGGAAUGUCUGCGACUAAGCCGAGGGCCACUGCAUAAGGGUUAUUGAUGGCAAAACAGGUAGAGGAAUGUCUGCGACUAAGCCGAGGGCCACUGCAUAAGGGUUAUUGAUGGCAAAACAGGUUGGAGACUACAUGAGAUUUUGACAGAUGGCGGGAAACCCUCAUCAACUGGAGAUCAGCCGGUUGAUCGUGAGGUAGACAGCAGUGUCAUCAGCGAAGAGACGGACUUGGGAUCUUACAUGAUCUGGUCUCCAGUGUCAAGGUCACGACCCGUGUAUAACUGGGACCACAUUGGACACUCACAACCCCGCCCCACGUCCAGCCCUUGGGAAUCCAGGAGCUGGAGAGUCCCUCGCUCAACACGCCACACUGACCCUGGAGGGAAAUAAUAUAAAAAAAGAAUAUGUUCUGGGUCUAUUGCAUGUGUAACACCAGAUUAUCCUGAGACGAGACUUUCUGCUUUACGCAAUUCAUUUAGCCCAGUUUUCUCAGAACGCGGCUCAUAUAGUUGAAACAACCAAACCUUACAUUGUUAAACACAGGCACAUUUCUUAUCUACAGGUAACCUCAUGAGGAGAUACAAUAAAGCAAAAUUAACAAAUUGAAAGAAGCAGUGACCUCAACAUGACAAGACGUACUGAACACCAAGUAGUAGACGCACACAAUGAAUAGAUAUCAGCAGACACACUACAGAAAAAUGCUGAGCGAAGAACAUAAAGUUGUAUGAAAGAUGAACUGUGUUUGUGAAAGACAAUCUACCAUACAUUGAAGUGUUUAGGAAAAAGUAACUCGUAACUUUGCAAAAUAUCAAUGGACCAGAACAACCAGCCUUUCUCUGAAAGCCAUUUUAGGUAGACUCACAUACCAAUAUCCAGAUAAGUAUCUGAAAUCGUUUCGGGUAAAAUCCGGAUGUGCUAUUUUAGAGAAAUUAUUAAUUUCAAGGCCCGUAACUUAGUUAAAAAAAUGAAUCGCGCCGAAACUAUAACUUGAUUUGUAAGUCAUGUAUGUAGAAUUGCACACCACAAAUAAGGUUAGUAUCUAAAAGCACUUAGGACAAAAAGUCCGGAAAAUGUUAAUUUAAAAAAACAAGCUUAGUCCAAGACCCGUAACUUCAUCAAAAAUCAAUUGAUGAACUUGAACUAUUAGUUAUGAAGGAAGACUCAACAUAUCUAAAACAAGGCAAAUACCUGAAAAACAUGUAAAUUUCUGAAAACGUUUAGGAAAGUAACUCCGGAAACGGAAUGCCGGAUGUACAGACAGACGGACGGACGAAAAGUGAGACUGCUAUAUAUUACCCUUCCGGGGGCAUAAACAACAGCUAACAAGAGGAGAAAAUGCAAAAUAACGUCAAGCAAAAUAUAACAGCGGACAAGUGGAACUACCUAUCACAUUUGUGCGGCUCACACUUACUAAUACUUUAGGCUAUUUUAAACAAUUCAUGAAAGACAUGGAAAUAUUGUCUAAAAAUCUUCAAUAAAUGAUCACAAUGACCGUCUUCAGGGCGAUUUCAAAUUCCUUGAAUGUGUAUUGUUUAUUUUUUAAAGGCAGAUUAUGA
Molecule: long non-coding RNA, 3252 nt
Organism: Dreissena polymorpha
Lineage: Eukaryota; Metazoa; Mollusca; Bivalvia; Myida; Dreissenidae
Exons: 8
Source: RefSeq, a predicted model, not a curated record